CCUUUCCCAGUUUUCUGGGGGCCUCUGGAGAUUGGGAGCGUCCAGAGAAGCGCAGGCCAAGUGGACAAUUACUUUGGAUGCUAUGUACCCAAUCAUGAAUAGGUAGAUCAUAGGGAAAAAUCAGUCUCUUCGGGAAAUGUAUAAACUUUGCAACAUGGAGGGUGAAUUUCAGGGAAGUAACAGGAUGGAGAAAAGGGAGGAAAAAGGGAUGAACACUGGAUCUGAUUGGGUUCUGCAGUAUAUACACAUGCCAUCACAGAGGAAAAACUUCAACUUUUCAGGGCUGCAUUAAUCCUGACCAUGUAACCAGGAAAUUAUUCACCAACCUUGGGCUGAGAAUGAGUUACAUGAAUGGGGCAACUAAAUUGCCACACUUGAAUUGCUGGUUCUGUGUUUCACCUCAUGAUUCAUAU
Hyaena hyaena (striped hyena) is the source of this 413-nucleotide long non-coding RNA. RefSeq lists it as uncharacterized. Lineage: Eukaryota; Metazoa; Chordata; Mammalia; Carnivora; Hyaenidae. The record is from RefSeq and is a predicted model, not a curated record. The transcript is spliced from 3 exons.